This is an unclassified non-coding RNA of Callithrix jacchus (white-tufted-ear marmoset), 300 nucleotides long. It matches the Rfam family "Metazoan signal recognition particle RNA". Rfam says of the family: The signal recognition particle (SRP) is a universally conserved ribonucleoprotein. It is involved in the co-translational targeting of proteins to membranes. Lineage: Eukaryota; Metazoa; Chordata; Mammalia; Primates; Cebidae. The record is from Ensembl.
GCCAGGCGUGGUGGCACGUGCCUGUAGUCCCAGCUACUCGGGAGGCCGAGGUGGGAGGAUCUCUUGAGCCCAGGAGUUCUGGGCUGUAGUGCGCUAUGUCAAUUGGGUGUCUACACUAAGUUCGGCAUCAAUCUGGUGACCUCCUGGGAGUGGGGGACCACCAGGUUGCCUAAGGAGGGGUGAACCGGCCCAGGUCGGAAACGGAGCAGGUCAAAACUCCCAUGCUGAUCAGUGGUGGGAUCAUACCUCUGAAUAGCCACUGCACUCCAGCCUGGGCAUCAUAGCAAGACCUCAUCUCUA